RNAcentral lists this ribosomal RNA (389 nucleotides) under Ips paraconfusus. RNAcentral's name for it is "partial 16S ribosomal RNA". The record is from RNAcentral. Lineage: Eukaryota; Metazoa; Arthropoda; Insecta; Coleoptera; Curculionidae.
CUUUUUCUUCGAUUAGAGCUCUAAGAAAAAAUUACGCUGUUAUCCCUAAGGUAAUUUUUCUUUUAAUCUUUAAUAAAGGAUCAUUAAAUAAACACUUAUCAAUGUAAAAAUAAAAAAAAAGUUAAAUAAAUUUUUUAAUCACCCCAAUUAAAUAUUUAUUUUUAAAAAAAUAAACACAAUUCCUCCUCAAUUUAAUCUCAAAAAUAAAUAUUAAACUCUAUAGGGUCUUCUCGUCUUUUAUAAAAAUUUAAGCUUUUUAACUUAAAAAUAAAAUUCAAAAAUUUAAAAUUGAGACAGUUAUUUUCUCAUCAAACCUUUCAUUCCAGCUUUCAAUUAAAAAACUAAUGAUUAUGCUACCUUAGCACAGUCAAAAUACUGCGGCCGUUUAA